This 482-nucleotide ribosomal RNA is filed under the name uncultured bacterium. RNAcentral describes it as "bacterial SSU rRNA". It matches the Rfam family "Bacterial small subunit ribosomal RNA", at positions 903 to 1397 of the family's 1533-position model. The record is from RNAcentral.
AAAUGAAUAGACGGGUCCCCGCACAAGCAGCGGAGCGUGUGGUUUAAUUCGUUGCUACGCGAAAAACCUUACCUGGGUUUGACAUAGCAGUGGUAGGGAAGAGAAAUCGGACCGACCCUUCGGGGAGCUGUUACAGGUGUUGCAUGGCUGUCGUCAGCUCGUGUCGUGAGAUGUUCGGUUAAGUCCGCUAACGAGCGCAACCCGCGUUGUGUGUUAUACGUGUCACACAAUACCGCCGGUAUUAAGUCGGAGGAAGGUGCGGAUGACGUCAAGUCAGCAUGACCUUUAUAUCCAGGGCUACACACACGCUACAAUGGCCAGCACAACAGGUUGCCAAGCCGCGAGGCGGAGCCAAUCCUCCAAAGCUGGUCUCAGUUCAGAUUGUAGGCUGCAACUCGCCUGCAUGAAGUUGGAGUUGCUAGUAACCGCAGGUCAGAACUACUGCGGUGAAUACGUUCCCGGGGAUUGUACACACCGCCCGU